CCUACGGGAGGCAGCAGUGGGGAAUAUUGCACAAUGGGGGAAACCCUGAUGCAGCAACGCCGCGUGAAGGAAGACGGUUUUCGGAUUGGAAACUUCUUUUGACAGGGAAGAGCAGAAGACGGUACCUCUUGAAUAAGCCACGGCUAACUACGUGCCAUCAGCCGCGGUAAUACGUAGGUGGCAAGCUUUGUCCGGAUUUACUGGGUGUAAAGGGCGUGCAGCCGGGAAGACAAGUCAGAUGUGAAAUCCCGCGGCGCAACCGCGGAACUGCAUUUGAAACUGUUUUUCUUGAGUACCGGAGAGGUCAUCGGAAUUCCUGGUGUAGCGGUGAAAUGCGUAGAUAUAAGGAAGAACACCAGUGGCGAAGGCGGAUGACUGGACGGCAACUGACGGUGAGGCGCGAAAGCGUGGGGAGCAAACAGGAUUAGAUACCCUUGUAGUC
This 442-nucleotide ribosomal RNA is filed under the name uncultured bacterium. Its description in RNAcentral is "partial 16S ribosomal RNA". It matches the Rfam family "Bacterial small subunit ribosomal RNA", at positions 338 to 795 of the family's 1533-position model. The record is from RNAcentral.